Molecule: non-coding RNA, 97 nt
Organism: Mycena vulgaris
Lineage: Eukaryota; Fungi; Basidiomycota; Agaricomycetes; Agaricales; Mycenaceae
Source: the annotation of a GenBank genome assembly
GUCUUCGUGGGGUAAUGCAACCCGCUCCCAGUCUAUGCAGACGUAUGCUUAGAGAAUAAAUAUGGGAGAAACGGUGGUUCGAAUCCACCCGAGGACA